RNAcentral lists this ribosomal RNA (584 nucleotides) under uncultured bacterium. RNAcentral's name for it is "partial 16S ribosomal RNA". It matches the Rfam family "Bacterial small subunit ribosomal RNA", at positions 355 to 932 of the family's 1533-position model. The record is from RNAcentral.
UGGGGAAUUUUGGACAAUGGGGGAAACCCUGAUCCAGCCAUCCCGCGUGUGCGAUGAAGGCCUUCGGGUUGUAAAGCACUUUUGGCAGGAAAGAAACGUCGCGGGUUAAUACCCCGCGAAACUGACGGUACCUGCAGAAUAAGCACCGGCUAACUACGUGCCAGCAGCCGCGGUAAUACGUAGGGUGCAAGCGUUAAUCGGAAUUACUGGGCGUAAAGCGUGCGCAGGCGGUUCGGAAAGAAAGAUGUGAAAUCCCAGAGCUUAACUUUGGAACUGCAUUUUUAACUACCGGGCUAGAGUGUGUCAGAGGGAGGUGGAAUUCCGCGUGUAGCAGUGAAAUGCGUAGAUAUGCGGAGGAACACCGAUGGCGAAGGCAGCCUCCUGGGAUAACACUGACGCUCAUGCACGAAAGCGUGGGGAGCAAACAGGAUUAGAUACCCUGGUAGUCCACGCCCUAAACGAUGUCAACUAGCUGUUGGGGCCUUCGGGCCUUGGUAGCGCAGCUAACGCGUGAAGUUGACCGCCUGGGGAGUACGGUCGCAAGAUUAAAACUCAAAUGAAUUGACGGGGGUCGAUACUGUUUU